Molecule: long non-coding RNA, 6501 nt
Organism: Mus musculus (house mouse)
Lineage: Eukaryota; Metazoa; Chordata; Mammalia; Rodentia; Muridae
Exons: 2
Source: RefSeq, a predicted model, not a curated record
UGUUCUUGCCAUCGCAGCCAACCCUGAAAAGACCACAUCAGGAAUUCAACAUCUAAUUCAACAUCAACAUCAUUCAAAGCCACACAUCCCAGACCCCCGGGCUGCACUCCCAACAAGCAGCAGCAGAGAGACGACUUCCUGCUAACUACAUGGUCCUGACUAUGCCAGACAAACCUGCAGCUGGAGGCUCAGGGCCCUGUGCUUCACAGCCACUGCAUGGAGAGCGUGCUCUGCAUGGGCUUGUCCUAGUCGCCACCUCCACUUGCUCCACCAGAAACUGAAAGAGCAAAUCAAAGAUGGAGUCAGUCCUGGGUUGGGGGAACUCACCAGAGGAGAGAAGGACCACUAAAUUAAAGCUGUGCUUCUGAACUUUAGCCCAAGACUCUCUCCCUCACAGUGCCAUCUCUGCUGACCUACUGCUGCAAAGAAAAGCAAAAGUCAAUCUGCAAUCUCGGGACAGAAAGAUGGCUCAGUGGGUAAAUAUGCUCAUGUCACCAAGUCUGACAACCAGACUUGAAUCCCUGGGACUCACAUGGUAGACGUGACAAGAAAACUGACUUGAACAGGUCACCUCCACAUGCAUCAUCUCUUUCUCACACACUAAAUAAAUUGUAAUUUAAAAAUAGUAAAGGCUAUUAGCCAGGCAGUGGCGGUACAGGACUUUAAUCCUGGCACUCAGGAGGCAGAGGCAGACAAGUUUCUGUGAGUUCUAAGCUAGCCUGAUCUACAAAGUGAAUUUCAGGACAGCCAGGGCUGUUAUCCAAAGAAACUCUGUCUUGAAAAAACAAAAAACAAGAAUAAACAAACAGGUGGAUGGAUUUAUUUAUUUAUUUAUUUUAUUUUAUUUUAUUUUAUUUUAUUUUAUUUAAGGGCCAGAAACUAUAAUGUCAGAUGGAGACAUAAGCACUAUAAAUUAUCAUCCACCCAUUUGCUGGUUUGUUUGCAGUCCUGGAAAUGAACUCAGGGCCAUGUGCAUAUCAGGCAGGCUCUCUACUGAGCAACAGUCCCAGCCCCACAGCACCAUAGACAUGCUCUGCUUCUCUGCCUCCACUAUUCAGUUUUCAAAAACAGGAGCUGCCAACAUUUAAAACUCAGAUGCCAUGGGAAAAUCUGAACAUGAAGAACAAUGGUUUUCAGGUUUCCAAGCUUGCAGGAGCUCUCCUUCCUUACCCCCACUGCAGCCUCCUCCUCUUAGCUAGUUUCUUAUUUUUGGUUGGAAAACAGCAGGGAGGAACAGCAACACUCUGCUGUAAGAAACAACCUGCAUGCCUUCAGAGAAAGCUCAGAGGUUAAUAUCCAUGGCUACUCCACCAAAGGACCCAGGUUUGAAUCCCAGCACCCCCUUGUUGGCUCACAAGCAUAUGAAACUUCAGUGCCAGGGGAUCCAGUGUCCACUUCUGGCCUCUACAGGCACCAGGCACACACAGUGGUAUGCAAACAUACAUGUAGGCAAAAUACCCAUACACAUAAAAUAAAAAUAGACCUUCUAAAAAAAGCUAUGGAGAGAAACUAAGUCAGUCAUCUCUACCCACUAAAAGAAACAAACAAAAGAAAACAAAUAAACAGAAACAGCUUGCUUGGCUUUGUCACUACCCACAAAGACCUUUCCUUCCUAGACCAGUGCUCCCUUCCACAUCUACAGCUAUUUGUGUUCUUCUUCUCUUUAAGAAUCACUUAGAAAUUAUGAACAUAGUGUUUAACAGUACCAGAACAUUAAUUCCUCAAUAAAAAUAGAGUUAAUGAAUUCACAAUACAAAAACACUCAGAUAAAACUGCACACUAAUUAAACAUUUUAAAACAGUACCUAAAUACACUUUAAAUAACUUAUUUUUACUUGAAUAAUUUCUUAGGCUGGGGAGAUGGCUCAGAUGAUAAUGUGUUUGCUAUGCAGGCAUGAGGCCCCCAGUACAGAGAUGCAAAAUAGCCCAAUGACACACGCUGGAUCAUGGAUUCAGAUCUAAGUAAGUAUAGCUGUAAAGCAGCAGGCUGUACUCUCCUGGGCUUGUGUAGUACUGACAGUCAGAACCCAGAGAACCACAAGGGGCAUAAGCACAGAACCAGUUAUAAAAAGGUUUUGUUACAUGUAUCAAGAGAUUCAAAGUAGACUUUGUGUCAAGGGCCAUGCAGAAGGAACAACAAAUGGCUUUAGAACUCAUAGAAUUGAAUUCAGCCCACUGGUUACCAUAGCUAUGAUGGGUGUGCCUUGGAGAGGCAGAACACGAGGACUACAUGUCCUGAAGACUCCAAUGCUGCUGUGGAGUUUUGCUCUGUCGUCUUAAUCUAAGAAUUGUACGAAAACUCUAUGGGGGCUUCCAGCCCCUAACUGAGCAGUAUCUCUGGCACUCACAUAACAGAACUUGAUCUCUCUCAAGCACCGCUGCUGGAAUACAUUAAUGAUUCAAUUACCACCCUUGGAAAGAACUUAGAGAUGCAGCUUGUUAGCAAUGACUACCACCCUUAGAAAGCAUUUGGAAAAACGAUUGUUGGUGAAGAUAGGUUGAGAUGCUUUUGUUAAUGGCUCUGAUAUAGAAACCCUUAGGGAACACUGUUCCUGGUUGAGCUAGGGAUUGUUUAAGGCUAGAGGAUAAGAACAAUAUUAGGCUGACUAGCACUGACUAAAGCAAGAUCAAGCUGACGAUUAACUUCUUGUACUCAUUUUUGCCUUCAGAUUACUUUUUAAGAUAAAUAAUAAGACCACUGAUCCUUUCUUUGUACCACAAAUUGCUGCCUGCCAGAAAGAGAAGCUGGCUGAGAAAAUUAUCCUGCUUGCUACUUUGUUAAUCUGUAAGUUGCUUAGUUAAACAUGUAUGUGGGUUCUUGGGAAUAAUUUGUUUUCUUUUCUUUUUCUUUUACAUGUACUAUGUAAUGCUUUUCAUGUAAAGGUAUUAAGGAACACACUGCUUUUUCAUAAUCAUUCACUAGAGGAAAAAUAGAAUGUAAUCACAUUGUAAUUUUAUAUUGUUUAAAAGGUUUUGCUGGGAUAUAUAAGCUAUGGGAGAAAAAACAAAGUUGGAGCCUGCUUGUUGGAGCUUUGCUCCAUUCAUCAAAUGUGUGUGUAUAUAUGUAUGUAUGUAUGUAAAGUAGUUGGAGCUUGCUCUUGCUCAUUAAAACUUGUUGAAGUCUGCUUCAUUCAUCCAGUGUGUGUGUGUAUGUGUGUGUGUGUGUGUGUGUGUGUGUGUGAUUCUUCCCCCACCCCCUUUUCUUUCUUUUUUCACUGACCUCAUAUGGCCACCAAAGGAACUCUUCAUUGGCCUCCCAGGGAGCAUCCUCACUGGCCCCAGUCAACUGCCAACUCUACACCCUGCCUCAGUGUACCCUGGAUGUCAAAGCUGGUAUUUGACAACUUUGUCCUGUGUGUGCAAUGCUGGUGAGAUGCAGAGCAGUGGCUGCAGUGGACAGAGAGCCCUGGUGAGAUGCAGAGCAGUGGCUGCAGUGGACAGUGAGCCCUGGUGAGAUGCAGAGCAGUGGCUGCAGUGGACAGUGAGCCCUGGUGAGAUGCAGAGCAGUGGCUGCAGUGGACAGUGAGCCCUGGUGAGAUUCAGAGCAGUGGCUGCAGUGGACAGUGAGCCCUGGUGAGAUGCAGCACAGUGGCUGCAGUGGACAGUGAGCCCUGGUGAGAUGCAGAGCAGUGGCUGCAGUGGACAAUGAGCCCUGGUAAGAUGCAGAGCAGUGGCUGCAGUGGACAGUGAGCCCUGGUGAGAUGCAGCACAGUGGCUGCAGUGGACAGUGAGCCCUGGUGAGAUGCAGAGCAGUGGCUGCAGUGGACAGUGAGCCCUCAUUUUUUUUCAAUGACAAAUUUACAAGGAUUCAGACAAGUCCUACAACUUUUCUAAGCCUUCCUGUAAAUGAUGAUGUAUAUAGUAAUGUACUUAUAUUUUAUGCCAAGAAUUAAAUAAAAUAUUUCACAUUUUAACACAUAUACAGCACCACCUGUGGGUGCAGACCUAUAACCCCAACUAUUUGGCUAAGUCAAGAGAGCCAAAGGCCAGAUUUCUGAGUUCGAGGCCAGCCUGGGCUACAGAGUGAGUUCCAGGACAGCAGGGGCUAUACAGAGAAACCCUGUCUCGAAAAACCAAAAAAAAAAAAAAAAAAAAAAAAAAACACUAAUGAGCUUGGGCUACAGAGAAAAUUCAAGGCCAGAUUAUACAAAAUAAAAAGUAAAAAGACAGCUGGGGAUCUGGGAGUGGUGUAAUUUUGUUUAAUCCCAGCACUCAAGAGGCAAGGAGAGACAGGCAGAAGUUGUGAGUUCAAAGCCAGCCUGGUCUACAAAGAAAAAAACAGCUAAGGACAUGGAGUAUUUAUCAACCACGUGAUAAACCCUACAUUCACUCCCCUGUACCACCAUCCUGACUGGUAUUUCUGUUGCUGUAGUGAAACACUAUGACCAAAGCAACUUGUAAAGUUAAGGGUUUAUUUGGCUUACAUAUCCAUAUCAUGGUUUAUCAAUGAAGGAAGUCUGGACAGGAACUCAAACAGAAAAGAAUCGUGGAGGCAGAGACCUCUGAGGGGUGCUGCUACCUGGCUUUCUCCUCGUGGUUUGCAAAGCUUGCUUUCUUAUUGAAGUCAGGAACACCAGCCCAGGGAUAGCAUCACCUACAAUGAUCUGGGCCCUUGUCCAUCAACCAUUAAUUAAGAAAAUGUUCUAUAAGCUUGCCUACAGCCCAAUCUUUUUUUUUUUUUUUUUUAGAAAUGGUUAUUUGUGUAUAUUUUUGACUUGGGAAUCUAACUUUCUUUUUUUUUUCUAUUACAUAUUUUCCUCAAUUACAUUUCCAAUGCUAUCCCAAAAGUCCCCCAUACCCUCCCCCCCUACUUCCCUACCCACUCAUUACAGCCCAAUCUUAUGGUAGUGUUCACUCAAAUGAGAUUCCCUCCUUUCAGUUAACUAACCCUCGCUUGUGUCAAGUUGACAUAAGAUAGCCAGCUCACAUCCCUACCCCCCCCUUUUUUUUUGUUUUUUUGGUUUUUUUCGAGACAGGGUUUCUCUGUAUAGCCCUGGCUGUCCUGGAACUCACUCUGUAGAUCAGGCUGGCCUUGAACUCAGAAAUCUGCCUGCCUCUACCUCCCAAGUGCUAGGAUUACAGGCGUGCACCACCACUGCCUGGCCCCAAAAAUUAUAUACACAAAGUUAACAAGGCUUAGAACAUUGUAAGCACUUAAUUAGAAUUAAUUAUGAUUAUAUAAAAUCUCAAUAUUAUAGUUGAAUGUUAUCAAUGGCUAUUAAUAGGUAUCAACUGUGUUCUAAGAUGAGUGAAUUAAAGUAUCAUACCAAUGCUGAGGUAAAAUGACAUUUGCUGACCUGUAGUUCCCCACACACUCACCAUAAGACACUCUGGCUCCUAAACUCUAGAGCAGUAGUCUUCAUGUGAAGUUUGGUCCUACGAGAAACCAUGUAUAUCAACCAGGACUUCCAGGCUUGGCACAUCUUCUGCUUCGUAUCUAGAGACAUCAAAGAGAUAUCUUUAUAAAAAGGAGGAAACUGGACUGGAGGGAUGGCUCAGCAGUUAAGAGCAUCUACUCUUCUCGUCCAGGUCCAGUUCAGUUCCCAGCACCCACACUGGGCAGCUCAUAACCACCAUAACUCCAGCUCCUGAAUGGAUCCGAUGCCUUUCUUCUGGCCACUACAGGCAUCUGCACAUUUCUACACACAGAUAUAGACAUAUAAACAUAACUGAAAAUAAAAUCUGAAAAGAAAAUAAAAAGGGUAGAGAGGGCCAGUGAGACAGCUCAGUGAUUAAGGGGUUUGCUGCCAAUCAUGGUGGGCUGAGUUCAAUCUCUGGAGCCCACACAAAAGAGAAGAGAAGUGACUUCUGCAGGCUGUCUUCUGACCUCACACAAACAUACAUGGUACACAGGAGCCACACACAUUUAAACAAGCACACAAAUGUAAGAAAACAUUUAAAGGGUGCGAGGAAUAUAUUAUUUUGUGUUAUGAUUUUCUCAAGGACUUUCUGUACUUAGCCCAUCUUCAAAGUCCGUAUCUGUUUUCUAGCCUCCAGGUGCCCUCUGCUAGAAAUACAAAAUGAACAGAUUCAAGACAGCUCAAGUGACAAGUUAAACUUUUAAAGGUAACCUGCACUCUGCCCACUGUGUGGCACCCCUGCCACCUCCUCCUUCUGUUUCUUUGAGACCAAGUCUCUAUGUAGCCUGGCAGGUUUGGAACUCUCUCUAGGAGGGUAGACCAGGCUAUCCUCAAACUCAUAGAAUCCGCUUACCUCUGUCUCCCAAAGUGCUAGGAUUAGAGGUGUGCACUAACACAUCUGACCUUAUUUUUCAAGACAGGGCCUCUCAGUAAACUUGGAGCUGACCAAUUAAACUAGAUUAGCUAAGCCAGGAGCCACAGGAAUCCUCCUGCCUCCACUUCCCCGUGCUGGGAGUGGAAGCGUGCCUGGCUUUUCACGUGGUUCUAAGGAACUGAACUCAGGUGCUCAUGCUUGCCUUGCAAAGCAGUUCAGUAACACCCAUUUUCCCAACUGUGGGAACAAUCUUAUACCUUAAAAAAAA